Molecule: unclassified non-coding RNA, 612 nt
Filed under: Hevea brasiliensis (rubber tree)
Lineage: Eukaryota; Viridiplantae; Streptophyta; Magnoliopsida; Malpighiales; Euphorbiaceae
Source: RNAcentral
CGUCUGAUCAUCUGAAACAACUCUGACUUCUUUUAUUGCACACAUCUGCCCACUCUCACUGUUAAAUCCAAGGUAAACAUGUCCAAAAGUUCCCCUUCCUAGUAGCUUCCCUUUCUUCCAUUUAGACACUGGAGCAGUUGUAUUUUCAGUUACAACAGGAGUUCUUGUACUUGGAAGCAAGGAAGAAGGGCUGCUAGGAGAACCCGGUGGAAGAGGCAGUGGAUGACAUUGGCUCUUCCCAUCUUCCAGCCUUCCUGUUGCAGACUCUAGAUUCAUACCUCCUAAGAGUGGAUGAAGAGGUGAUGCAGACCUGCUGGCCCCUCUUGAUGCAGGACCAGGACUUCUAGAUCCAGGACCGGGACUUCUCGACCCAGGUCCUGGACUUCUUGAACCUGGACCUGGGCUUCUUGACCCCAAAUUGAACCUUAUAUCACCAUGUCCUCUAUGAUCAACAGAUGACCUGUAGCCACCAAAAAGACUACUGUGAUGAUCAUUCGCAAUUGGAUGAUCCUCACCAGAUGACCCAGAAGAGCUCACACUGGACAUGGAACCAGAAGCCGACCCAGAUCCCAACCCAACCCCACCACCAAUCCCAUGAUCACUCCCAGACCC